Molecule: ribosomal RNA, 679 nt
Filed under: uncultured Inocybe
Lineage: Eukaryota; Fungi; Basidiomycota; Agaricomycetes; Agaricales; Cortinariaceae
Description: eukaryotic LSU rRNA
Rfam family: 5.8S ribosomal RNA (bases 274-427)
Source: RNAcentral
CUUGGUCAUUUAGAGGAAGUAAAAGUCGUAACAAGGUUUCCGUAGGUGAACCUGCGGAAGGAUCAUUAUUGAAAUAAGCAUUUGAUAGGCUGUUGCUGGCCCUUCUUGGGUAGUGUGCACGCUUGUCAUUUAUUUAUCUAUUUCCACCUGUGCACCUUUUUGUAGACCUUAGAGAAGACUGCUGUGCGGGCCUCUCUAGGUUCUAUGUUACUCACAUACUCCUAUGAAUGUAAUAGAAUGUUGAUCUGGGUCUUUGCCCAUAAAGUUAUAUACAACUUUCAGCAAUGGAUCUCUUGGCUCUCGCAUCGAUGAAGAACGCAGCGAAAUGCGAUAAGUAAUGUGAAUUGCAGAAUUCAGUGAAUCAUCGAAUCUUUGAACGCAUCUUGCGCUCCUUGGUAUUCUGAGGAGCAUGCCUGUUUGAGUGUCAUUAAAUUCUCAACCACACUGUCUUUGAUUAGUGUGGCUUGGAUUUGGGGGGAAUUUUGUUGUGGGCUUUAUGCAGUCUGCUCCCCUGAAAUUAAUUAGCGGUACCUUGAGUGGAACUGUCUACAGGUGUGAUAAUUAUCUACAUCCUAGACAUCUGCUGGAAUGCUGCUUUCUAAACUGACCUCCUGACAAUCUUGACCUCAAAUCAGGUAGGACUACCCGCUGAGACUUGGAGCAUAUCAAUAAGCGGAGG